RNAcentral lists this long non-coding RNA (241 nucleotides) under Elaeis guineensis (African oil palm). RNAcentral's name for it is "long non-coding RNA (EGUI_LNC056250)". Lineage: Eukaryota; Viridiplantae; Streptophyta; Magnoliopsida; Arecales; Arecaceae. The record is from RNAcentral.
UGCCAUAGAAAUCUGAGCUGGGGCAAAGGUUGAUGAAGAUGGGGUGGAUCAAUCAGAUCCUCUAUAUGGCCUCUUCGACGAACGAGUUUUACUUGUUCCAGCUGCUUGUCAUUCUUUGCCCUGGCCGCAUGAGAUUUUGGAGCCAUGUCUCGAAAAUCCAAGUGGAUGAGAGUGAAUGAAGGGGGAAGAUGGGAUUUUUGAAGGGAAUAAGUUUAGAGCUAGGAAAUAGAGGAAUAGGGCA